Molecule: ribosomal RNA, 460 nt
Filed under: uncultured bacterium
Lineage: Bacteria
Description: partial 16S ribosomal RNA
Rfam family: Bacterial small subunit ribosomal RNA
Source: RNAcentral
CCUACGGGAGGCAGCAGUGAGGAAUAUUGGUCAAUGGACGAGAGUCUGAACCAGCCAAGUAGCGUGAAGGAUGACUGCCCUAUGGGUUGUAAACUUCUUUUAUCUGAGAAUAAAAUGUUCCACGUGUGGGAUUUUGUAUGUACCAUAUGAAUAAGGAUCGGCUAACUCCGUGCCAGCAGCCGCGGUAAUACGGAGGAUCCGAGCGUUAUCCGGAUUUAUUGGGUUUAAAGGGAGCGUAGGUGGAUUGUUAAGUCAGUUGUUAAAGUUUGCGGCUCAACCGUAAAAUUGCAGUUGAAACUGGCAGUCUUGAGUACAGGAGAGGUGGGCGGAAUGCGUGGUGUAGCGGUGAAAUGCUUAGAUAUCGCGAAGAACUCCGAUUGCGAAGGCAGUUCACUGGACUGCAACUGACACUGAGGCUCGAAAGUGUGGGUAUCGAACAGGAUUAGAUACCCGGGUAGUC